GACGACGCUGGCGGCGUGCUUAAUACAUGCAAGUCGAGCGAGGUUACUGUUUUGGAUCCCUUCGGGGUGAAGAAGCUUUAACCUAGCGGCGGACGGGUGAGUAACGCGUGGGUAACCUACCCCAAAGUCCGGGAUAACAGCGGGAAACCGCUGCUAAUACCGGAUGUCUUUACCUUGGGGCAUCUUGAGGUAAAGAAAGGUAACGCUUUGGGAUGGGCCCGCGUCCCAUUAGCUAGUUGGUGAGGUAACGGCUCACCAAGGCGACGAUGGGUAGCCGGCCUGAGAGGGUGGACGGCCACACUGGGACUGAGACACGGCCCAGACUCCUACGGGAGGCAGCAGUAGGGAAUAUUGCGCAAUGGACGGAAGUCUGACGCAGCGACGCCGCGUGAGCGAUGAAGGUCUUCGGAUCGUAAAGCUCUGUCCUUGGGGAAGAAGGCGAAAGCUUGACGGUACCCAAGAAGAAAGCCCCGGCUAACUACGUG
Molecule: ribosomal RNA, 485 nt
Filed under: uncultured bacterium
Lineage: Bacteria
Description: bacterial SSU rRNA
Rfam family: Bacterial small subunit ribosomal RNA
Source: RNAcentral